AUAAAUCAGCUGGUAGUAGACCAAGAAUGAUAGAAUACAAGACUGUGCCGUCCCUGGGAAUAACUCGGAAAAAGAAGAGGAAAAGUGAGGCAAAAAAGAAAAAUAUGGAUAUGGAGGCAUGGUUAUUAUUCGGGUUUUCACAGCUUUACCGAUUCUUGCCAGUAAUUUACGAUUUUCCUUUAUUUAGGUACCAGUAUUUAGACACAAUCGCACACAACUUCAGCUUCGUAAAAAACUAUUAAAAGCACCUUGUAUUUUAUUGUUUUACCUUGACAUAAGCAAUACAAACAGCUGAUUUGAUUGUGAGGUGGGGAAACGUCAACAAAGUUCUGCAAUAUUUUCAGGGUGAUUAACAAAAUUUUUGUAAAUAUCUGUGAAAGGUGGCAAAAAGAAUAAAAAUAUAAAAAAUGUGAUGAAUAUUUUUCUAAUAUGCUCCUGAAGUUCUUAAUUAUAAUUGGGCUAGUAUUUUUACUAGCAUACUGGAUACUACCUAAGGGAAUUAGUUUGUAUCUAGUAAAAAAGUUUAAGGUGAAAGUGCGAAUAGGCGGCAUUAGCUUACGUUAUUUAGCGCUGCGAAAUGUAGAUGUUAGUAAAAGCGGAUUCACGGUCCAAAUUGAAGAAAUUUGUCUUCGCAGCAGCUUCUUUAACACAGAAGUGACAAAGUUACUCUCAAUCUAUAUACGUGAUAUACGCAUAAACAAAGAUAUACAGAGCAAUGACGUUACCUUGGGAGCACUACGAGAUUCUGAACGACCAAAUGGCAAAUCUCAGGAAGAAGAAAAAGAUGUGCCCGAUUUCCGGCGAGCUAAAGUUCCGCCAAGUAUACUUACUUUUGCACAGUUUAUGGCUAUGCACAUAAACAACAUUUCUGUAGUGCUUAUGAAUAACAAUUUUGACCCGGGUUGGUUUAUUCAUGCUACAGCGAGAGAACUUCAUCUGGAUGGAAGUAUUGUUCACAACGCUAAAACUUUGUUAGUUAAUGCAGCUCUAAAUGAUGCCCAGGCGAAAAUGUUGCGGCAUUGCCCAUCCCGCCGACAGUCAUUGGAGAAUCUAAAUAAGAUACGUCCUUGCUUGGGCGAGAUUAGUUUUGAUAUUGCCUUGGAUGCCACGUUAUUUGCUCAUGGACCUCUAUCUGUAGAUAAACUUUCUUUGGCUAUGAACAAUGCUCGUUCCACAAUACACGGUAGUUUGUACGACUUCUUAAGCGAAGCAAAGCAACGUACAAGGCCACAACAAAAUUUAGAAAGCCACGUUAGAAGUACUGCCAAUUCACUUACGCAGCGUCGAAAGAGUUUUAGUAAUGAGUCUUAUCAGAAGAUUUCGCCCAUAAUACCGAAGAAUUUUAAUUUUGUGAUCAAAGCAGCAACUUUUUCAGCUGUGAAAGAAAAUUCCCAAAAUGACUUUAGUGCAAAAAUACAAUUGUUUAGCAUUACUGGAAAAUUCAAUUCCAAAUCACUAAAUGAGAAUGCACAUCUCCCAACGCUAUUUACCAAAGUCUUACUACAGCACUUGGACAUUGAUACCAAAUAUGAAAAGCUGCUGUUUAUUGAGCAAUUCACCAUUGAUUCAGUAUUGGAAAACGAUAUCCUAAAUCUAUAUGUGAAGCUUAAAACAUUCCAAAUUAUUUACAACCACAGUGAGAUAUAUGAUUGGGUGCAUAACAACUUUUUGUCGCGCCAGCGAACCAGUCCACAGCCCUUGCAUCUAAAUCAUAAACAACUUUCGUUGCCGGAACACUUAGGUGCAAACACUUUUUAUACUGCACCUAAUGACGCGUUGGAUCCACACUUAAUAACACCCAAGCAGUCGAAUAGUGGGUUACUGGAAGGCAUAUUAAAGCGCAUUGUUGUUAAAGGUUGUGCCGAAUUUUGGAAUGUAUCGAUUCUAAUGAAGUUGGACGAUGAAAAUGCUGCGAUGAGCGUGAGUCAUACAAGAUUCCUACUGGAGCAAAUCGAAGAGAAGCGCAGCUCUCUUUAUGGCAAUAGACUUUUGAAUUUAAUUUUGAAUCAGCGUCAUUGGAGUACCGAGCUUAUGAUUGAGUCUCUCUGGUGGUCACUGGGAAAUUCUAUUAAUGACACCAAUAAUUUGAAGAAAUCACAUUCUCCAGGAUCUCCAUUCUUUUUGGGGCUCAGUCUAGUUAAACUCAGUUCGUACGCAAGUGUCACAAAACUGGAGGUGUCAAUUCACACAUUACGGACCGAAUAUAGCAUGAGUCUGGCUGAGUUUAUUGUGAAAUCAGUUAACUGCAUAAAACAAUAUGGAGGUCUAAACUCUACUGGAAGUAGCAUGGAAAAUCGACCGUUGCGCGUGCAAAUACCCGGCACGACAUCAAUAUCCAGUGAGUUACUCAUCUCUGCGCGCAUCAAAGAUAUUACCGCCUAUUUUAUAAAUCACCACCAAGCCUGCUUGCUGUUGAGCUUCUCAGAUAUAUCACUUUCGCGUAAGCAGCAAGUGUCUAGUUUCAAAUUUGAGGAAUUCCAAAUGGCUAUUAUGCGUUCGAUGAAUUCAUCAUCACUUUGUCUCAAUGAUUUUACCGACAUAUUCGCUAGUUGUAAAACCAUUCGCAUUGAGCAUGAAAAAAAUGAAAACAAAGUUUCGGUAUACAUUCCUAGUAAUACAGAAGCCAUGUGGAACUCUAAUUUGCACAUGCACAUAUUGACCUUAGCCAGAGAUAUGAGAGAUUUAUAUACAGAACUGGCCUUACCGCAACGCAAUCUUGACGUAAAAUCGGAGUACGACAAAAGGCAAUGGAUUAUUGAACUAUCCGCUGAGUUGAGUACAGCUUUUGAAAUAAAGCUUUCUGAACGGCAUACAGUGCAGUGGUUUGUAGAAAAUUUGUUCUUCAGUCACAAAGAGGGAAACUUCAUAUCAGCAGAAAAUAUUUUCAUCAAAAUAGAUGAUCAACAUAUAUUUACGCUCAAAGAUAUAGAUGUACAGUCACUACCACGAUUAGAUAUGUUGACACAGGAACGUGUAAAUUACGAGACCUUUGUGUUGCCCACAAACAAAGUGUGGGUUACCACAAUCGGUGCUUUUAAGGCAAUUUUUCCCUAUGACCAUGAUUUCUAUGACGCUGUACAAAACGAGUUUGUGACGCAUUUUAAAUGGUUGAAAUUGGUACACAACUAUAAGAAAAAACCAUUUACAGCUAGCUCGCCGUUGCCAAGUGAUAUGGUUAUACAAAUAAAAGAGUUUUUGUUGGAAAUCAGCGAUGAUCCAUUUGAAGUCAAGUUACGUGACAAUUACGUCCUGCUUGUGGAUGAAUAUCUAGAGGGUAUAAAACGUAAAGCCAUUUUCGAUAAGAAAAUCGCGGAACGUUGUCUUGUACCAGCCAGCACAAUUGAAAGCCUUUAUGCAAGUCUUGUGCAAAAAAAUUCCGAAAUAUACAUUCAACGCUCGAAAAAGAUUAGGGAAAGUGGUCCUGUGCGUACCCGGUUGCUGGCAUGGAUUAUGACCGAUGUAGAAAUAAUGGCAAUGGCAGAUCCAUCGGUGCAUGGUACUGAGAAUGUAACCCGAAUAAUGCGCGACAUAGACUGUGAGAGUCCAUGGCCAGAAGAAAAUUUGGAAUUCACCACCCUUUGGUGUCGUAGCGUAAAUAUAAGCUGUACAGAAUGGAAAUUUAUGUUACGAGAUUUUCCGCAGCCAAUGUUUUACGUUAAAUCAAUGCGUCUGUUUGGUACUUUAUGCGGUGCUGAGCAAGCAGCGUCCAAGCGGGCUAAGCGCGAUGUUUUCAUUGAAGUUGGCGAGCCCUUUGGCACCGAUGUGGUUCAACGAAGCAUGCCAUCAUUGAAAUUUUACCAUGAUUUCGAUUGUGAAUUGGAGUUUUGCAGCUACGCUUUUGGUCCUUGUUGGGAACCGGUUAUGGCGCAGUGUAACCUUAGUUUUGAAAAGAUUUCGGCACCAUCAAAAGAUCCUAGUCCUCCGCUGCCUUUCUGGGACAAAAUGCGUUUACUUUUUCAUGGUCGGCUAACAAUGAUUGUUAAGCAAUUUACGGUUUUAUUGCAUGCCUCCCUGGAUCCCUACAAUACCACUGAGGAAAUGGAGUUGACAUGGAACAAUGCCGGAAUUGUGUGGACAAAUGCGAAAAUCAUGUUCAAGGGCGAAUUAAAUAUUACAGUACGUACAGCUUCGCGUUACGAUGAUUGUCGUCUAUUGCAUUUUCCCAACUUGAAACUGACAUUUAAGCUGAACUGGGUUUGUCUGGCAAAUCCAAACGACCAUCACGCAGUUAUGCCUUGCGCGCCCGAUAAGUUGCCAGAGUAUUCCAGUAAUCAAGUGCAUGACUCCUUCCGUGCCUUCCGUUCACUUAACUUAAAUAUUUGGAUCUCGUUUGAAACCAAACCAAAACUUGGUGAGGAGGUGGAAAUCGACAUUCCCAGCUUGGUUCUAUACGGCAGCACCCUGCGUUGGUUCGAGAGCCUUAAGUUGAUUCUUUCAGGUGUUACCCGUCCAACGCGACGCGGCCCGGUAUUUAAUAAUGUGCGACCACGCAAGAAGCAGCUCAGUCGGCAUUACAAGAAGGCAAAUCUCCAAAUGAGUUUACAUCGAUUUCAAGUACUUUACUGGAUGUCUCACGCUUUGCAUAAGGGUUUCCAAUUAAAUGGUGGUCGGGUGUCGUUUAGCUCGGAGUAUUGUUUAUCGUUAAGUCCCAUCGACGAUGGACUAAUUCAUAGACCGCGUGCUGAUUGGUCCACAGUCUACAUGAAUUGUGAAUUGAACGACGCUGAGAUUUGGUUGAAAAGCAUACUCACCGAAAAAUUAGAUAGCAGUUCAGAAAAUUUGGCAAGUGUUGCGGAUGCCUUCAAAAUAGUGAGAUUCUACUUCUUAAGUGUGGCGAAAGUUUCGUAUGGUAGAGAGGCGCUUAUUCCAACCGGGAACAGUCAAGAGGAAGAGACAAAAACCAAAAAUACAACACCCACUCAUAAACUGGUCGUUUAUGACCUUAAAGGAGCGUGGACGAAAAAUAAUCGGGAUGUUGCUUUUGCUCUCUUUGAUUCAUUCAUGAAGUCUCAAAAGUUGAAGAACAAUUUGUCGACGGAAGCAGUGAAAAGCUAUCGAAAAGAGACAAAUUCCAAUGUUAUGAAAAACAAACGUAGCGAUAGUACAAUAACUCUAACAAAUAAUCCAACGGAAGUGCUACCAAUAACGAACUCCAAUAGCGCUAUCAAGAAGGUGCAACCUGCUAGCCAUGCAACUGCGAUGUUGCAGCAACUAAUAGCUGAAGCCGAUCAUAAAUUCAACGUGUAUAGCGAUGACCAAAGCACACAGUCGCGAGAAUUACAGUUACAGGGCUUGCAGGCCUGCUCCGCCCAAGAUGUGAUACACGAAAAUUGGUCAAUAUCAUUGGUCAAUUCACAAGUGCUGCUUAAGGGUUGUGAAACGUCUGGUUAUGUGAUUAUUAGUGCUGCUAAAGCCGAGAUUUUACAACGUGUUCAUAGGCCAGUGUGGCGUGACAGAUCACUUGUGUCAAAAACGACUUGGAAGGGACUGCUCGAAUGCAUGCAGUACUAUGCCACAGUUAGCGCUGGUGAAGAUGACUCGCUCAUUGAAAAAGAGAUCAUGUGGCUUACUGUGGAUAACAUUCAGGAUAAAGACGAUACUGUGAUUAAUGAUUUACCAGACAUUCCACACCUUGUGGGUAGUGGCCGAAGUGUGGGUGGAGUUGUCUCUGAGACAGUGGGUGCAUUGUCCAUUGAAAACCCGGGAGAAACUCAGCCUGUACAGCUGCAGCGCAUUGUGUCUCGUUGUAAAUGUGAAUUCUUUUAUGUCAGCUAUGGCGACACUAUAGAUCCAAAUACAAUAACCGAAGUGCCACCGCCCCCAUCAGAGGAAACAUUAUCGCCUUGGGAAAAGCAAGAUGACCCAGUGGACGCUUUUACUUUGAUGCAUCAUGACCUUGACGUCUGCACGAACUCCUUGCAAUAUGCUAUGAUUCUAGAUAUUGUAAAUAAUUUGCUACUUUUCGUGGAGCCACAGCGGAAACAAGCGCUAGAAAAAUUGGCGCGCAUGCGUUUUCAAUUGCAACUUCACUCUACGGAGGAUCAAAAACGGCCUAUUCAGCAAAAACAAACCAUGAUACGUAGUCUGCUAAUGAAAAUCCGAUCGUUGGAGAAGGACAUACAUCUAAUAGGUAAGGAUCGUGCCGAGGAGGGUGAUACGCUGGAGUUGAGACAGGAAUUCGAACGCGUGCAAUUGCAAAUUCGCGAGAGCAAAGAGGAACUGAACACAUUGAGUGAGGAGCUCGAUAUGAUGUUAUUAUGUUAUAAGGAAACUCAGCUCUCUCAGCUUAGCAAAAUAUCGAAUGUACGUUCCGACAAGUCCCUAACUAUUGUACGUGCAAAUGAGAUUUGUUUUAAACGUGCGCAGUGGAGGCUUACAGAAACUGAUGGUCAAAUCGGCAUAUCUGACUUGGUACUCAGUGGCUUUUUAUAUACAAAAAAAUCAAAGAGUGAUGAUUCUGUGGAGCAUUUGCUGGAAUUGGGCAAUAUCCGUAUGAGCAAUUUGAUUCCGCGUGAGAUUUAUCGUGAGGUGCUAAUGCCAACAGAAAUCCAGAAAGAUAUGCCAAUCGAUACACAUAAACGUGUGCUGAGAGUUUUUUGCCGCGAGAAGCCACCAGUGGGCGGUAUUUCUGUCAAGGAGCAUUUUGAAAUUAAUGUAGCGCCCAUCACUAUCGCUAUCACAAAAAAAUUCUACAGCACAAUGUUGAAGUUUUGCUUUCCCGAUCGCGACGCUUCCGAAACAGAAACUGUUGAUGACAUUGAAGAGAAUUCUUCGAGUUCUUCCUCGUCGUCUGCAGCACAAACGAAGUCUUCAAAGAAACCAUCGAAAACGAAAAAGAGUUCCAAAGAUUCCGAAUUCUAUGUGAAAAUUGAAAAAGAUGAUGUAGAGAAAAUGAAGGAGCGUGCCGAGAAGAAUAAAUUAUUUAUUUAUAUAAAAAUACCUGAAGUGCCUGUUCGUGUAAGUUACAAAGGAAACAAGGAGAAAAAUCUUGAGGAUAUUACAGACUUUUCGCUAGUUAUACCAACACUUGAGUACCAUAAUGUUACUUGGACUUGGCUAGACUUGCUGUUAGCCAUGAAAUCAGUAAGCCGGCGGGUGAUAUUAUCGCAAGCAAUUAAACAAAAAUUGCAAAUACACAGACGUCAGCCAGGCACGUCGACUGGCGAACGUUCGUCGCCGCAGGAAGAAGACAAAGCAAAAAUGUUGUUUGGAAAUCGCUUGCUGAGUGAGAAUCGCAGCCAAAGAAGAGGGGUUUUUAAAUUCACCUCGAGUAAUAAGUGAUAGGAAGAGAUUACUAUGCAAUUUUAGUGCUGAAUUUAUACAUAUCCCCAUACAUUGGGGUGCAUUACUCUCCAUAUAAAUAAAAAUCGGUAGUGUUGUUUCAUCGGAAUUAUAAAAUUGAGAUGAACCGAUUUGAAUGUACAUUCAAAAAACCCAUUAUUUGAUUCCGUUGGUAAAAUUUUUCGACAUUUUUAAGCAACCUUUUUGCAACUUUUAAGGUCUUAAACUCUAUGCUAUUAUCUCAGAGGUGUUUCCAAAUUGGAUCUGCUCAUAUAAAUCUUAAUACUUAUCCGAAAGAUUUUGGCGGAAAUCUAAGAAUAUAAUAAAUUUUAUAAUUCCAGUCGAAACGCCGCAACUUAUCCUAAUAUGAUCUAGUUGAUUCCAUCAAUGAUUAUCAAGUGCAGUAAAAUGCAACGCUUUUAUUUAUUGUAGUUUUAAUAAUGUGAAUUGGGGUUUGUUUAACACAGAUACAAUUUAAAUUAAUUAAUUUUACACAACAUUAUUAUGCUAGUACGAACGAGUGUACCAUAUCCUUUAAAGCUACUAUAAUUACUAAUGUAUUAGCACACUUUAUGCAAUAUGUAUUACCCUUUCACAAAAAAAAAACAACUUAAAAACGAAGUAAUAUAAUGCUAUGAAGGCAUGUAAAAUAUACUGACAGACGACAUGUCUAUUUAAUGUUAUCUAAGUAUGUACGCUUUGUGUAAUAUUUAAUUUAACAUUUUAAGAGGCUUUACAGUAAAAUUGCUUUAGAAUUACUAAACUUCAAUAACGUCUAUAUUUUUACAAAUUUCUCCAAGGAUGAAUAUGUUCCAA
RNA transcript from Anastrepha ludens (Mexican fruit fly), 8097 nucleotides. It is a transcript of the gene named protein hobbit, with no coding region annotated. The record is from RefSeq and is a predicted model, not a curated record. The transcript is spliced from 18 exons. NCBI's taxonomy places the organism in Eukaryota, Metazoa, Arthropoda, Insecta, Diptera, Tephritidae.